Molecule: ribosomal RNA, 253 nt
Filed under: uncultured bacterium
Lineage: Bacteria
Description: partial 16S ribosomal RNA
Rfam family: Bacterial small subunit ribosomal RNA
Source: RNAcentral
GACGAACCGUGCGAACGUUGUUCGGAAUCACUGGGCUUAAAGGGCGCGUAGGCGGCUUGUCAAGUCAGGGGUGAAAUCCUCCAGCUCAACUGGAGAAGUGCCUUUGAUACUGAUGAGCUCGAGGGAGGUAGGGGUAUGUGGAACUUCUGGUGGAGCGGUGAAAUGCGUUGAUAUCAGAAGGAACGCCGGUGGCGAAAGCGGCGCGCUGGACCUCUUCUGACGCUGAGGCGCGAAAGCGUGGGGAGCAAACAGG